This is a non-coding RNA of Lonchura striata (white-rumped munia), 742 nucleotides long. Lineage: Eukaryota; Metazoa; Chordata; Aves; Passeriformes; Estrildidae. The record is from RefSeq and is a predicted model, not a curated record.
AACAGAAAGCCUACUUUGAAAAGUGAGGAAUGCCUCAGCCUUGCAAAUGCAAUUGAACCCGAGGGUAUCCACAAGUGUCUGAAGGGGAAGCAGAAAGGAGGGGAUUUUGGGCUAAAUAUCAGCAGCAGGAUUCUGCAGAUCUCCCUGGGGCUGCACUCUCUGGGCUUGCUGGAUAUAAGCUGUUGGAUGAAAAAUCCCCACAUUGUCCUGUGGAAAUUCUUCAGAAGGAUGGAAAGUGUGACCAAAGAACUUUUACAAAGUGCAGAUGGCUAAAAUGAGAUUUUUUCUGAAUAAAGAGUUGGCCCCAGAGAGACUUUGGAGUAGAUUUCUGCUUAGAACAGGUAGACGAACUCACUUUUGGGUUUUUUUUUGACCAAAUGAACAUGGGGAUCUAGGAGGGAAGAGAUCAUUUUAGAGAUGUGGAAAUUGUUACCUUCAUUGAUUGAUUUAUUGACUGCGUGACUUUGGCUCCCUAAGAUAGGGAACAACUUGUGGUCUGUGCAGAUGAUUCAACUCACAAAAUAUAUUUACAGGUGAGCAUCAUGAGUCUGUGUUGUAUAUAAUACUCUAAAAUGCAUGUAGAAUCUGCAAGUCCAUCUACAACAUUAUUUUUUGUAGGAUGAGAAACAUACUUAGCACAGGCAGAACAGUAAUAUCAGAACUGUCUAAAAAUGUAUUUCUGUGACACUUUUAUCUUUCAGCCCUUUGGCUCAAGUCGAGUUAUAAGCAUUAAAAGACAAGC